RNAcentral lists this ribosomal RNA (301 nucleotides) under uncultured bacterium. Its description in RNAcentral is "partial 16S ribosomal RNA". It matches the Rfam family "Bacterial small subunit ribosomal RNA", at positions 509 to 807 of the family's 1533-position model. The record is from RNAcentral.
CAGUCGCCGCGGUAAUACGAGGGGGGCAAGCGUUGUUCGGAAUUAUUGGGCGUAAAGGGUGCGUAGGCGGCUUGGCAAGUCUUGUGUGAAAUCUAUGGGCUCAACCCAUAGUCUGCACGGGAAACUGUCGGGCUUGAGAAUGGGAGAGGUGAGUGGAAUUUCCGGUGUAGCGGUGAAAUGCGUAGAUAUCGGAAGGAACACCUGUGGCGAAAGCGGCUCACUGGACCAUUUCUGACGCUGAUGCACGAAAGCUAGGGGAGCAAACAGGAUUAGAUACCCCAGUAGUCCCUGUCUCUUAUAC